Molecule: long non-coding RNA, 1823 nt
Organism: Mauremys reevesii (Reeves's turtle)
Lineage: Eukaryota; Metazoa; Chordata; Testudines; Geoemydidae
Exons: 4
Source: RefSeq, a predicted model, not a curated record
GCAUAAUUCUUUCCUCCUGUGCAUCUGAGGAUUUGUUGGCUGAUAGACUGUAAUUACAGCCCCAGAAGGGCAUCUCCAGAAGACACCAGUUACCUGAGAAGGAUGUAGGAAGGUGUUGAGCAGGCAACCAGAUUGCUCCAAGAAGGCAACAAUGAUCUUCAAGAGACCAGAACACAAGGAUCAAGAUAACACGAUUAACCAGUUCUGAAAAUGGUCCCAUGGGCAUGACUUCAUCCUCCUGUUCAAGCCAUCUACAUUUGUCCCGGUCAGCAAGCUUUUGUUAAACCAGCUCUGCUUUGAUGCUUGGCCUCUGGCUCUAUCUGUCUGUCUUCCACGAGUAGCGUUUUCCACUGCAGCCUUCUCAGCUCUGGAUUUCUCGCUAACACAACUACCUCUUCUGGAUGAUCUAUCGCCACAUCUGGUCAGUCGCUGCAUGCUCUGCAAGAGAAAAUGGGACAUUCCCCCUCCUUCCCCCACACCCCUCUGUGUUUGGAGCAGGUGUCCCAUCCUGCCUCACAACAUAUGAGCACAGCAUGGCCAUCAGUUCCAAUUUCUGCUGAUCAGUAGCAGACAGACUUUGCUGCUUUCUCAUGAGCUGUUUGUAAUUUGUGCUUGCUAACUAGCUUUUAUCCAAGAUAAACUGUCUAUACAGCCCAUGGCAGCAAGUUUUCCAGCCUGGGUCGACUAGGGUGACCAGACAGCAAGUGUGAAAAAUUGGGAUGGGGGGUGGGGAGUAAAAGGUGCAUAUAUAAGACACUACCCUGAAUAUUAGAACUCUCCCUACAAAAUUGGGACAUCUGGUCACCCUUAGGUUGACAGUUUCAGGCUAGUGCUCUAAAAACAGCUAUAUAGCCAAUGCUUUGAAGUUGCAACUUGAGCUACAGUUCAGGGUCUGAAGUUCCCCCUUGUUUUUAAGCUGUUUUUAAAUUGCCACCCUGAGCCCCAUUCGCCCAAGUCUGUCAACCUGGGCUGGGAUGCUCAUUGCUAGGGGCUGUGCAGACUUACCGUAACAGAUAUGGUCUUGGCUUUCAGUUUAAAGAGCAAAAGUGUAAGCUCUUGCAAUAAUGUUUUUAAAAGCUUCACAUGCUACCAAGUAGAUCCCAAACGCUGCCACCAUUUUGUCAUAUACACAUUCUGUGUCAACUUUCUUUUGGUAGUUAACAUUUGCUUCCUCUCUAACCUUAUUAUGAAUUAAAAUUGGUUAGACAGGGACUGAAGUUAACUCAACCUCUAUCCAGUUGGUCAGUUUUACAAAGACAACACUUAACAGUUUCUUUUACUUUCCAUAAUAAAUGCUCAUAACUCCCACUAGGUGCUGUGUAUCCACGUGGAGAAAAUAAAAUGUACUUAUGGCUUUGUGCAGCCAUUGCAAGUACAAAUUUAGCUAAGCCAAUAAUCAGCUAAGUGUGAAGUCAUGACAGGGCUAAAUAAUGGAAUGUCUAAACUAAAGAAUUUACUAGACUGGAUGCAGUACAGGGAUAAGCUAACUUCCAUUGUCUUACAAGUCUUACAUAAUCAUUUAAGCUGCUUCUUGCACUUAUAUAACUGAACUACAGUACAUCGGUAUGAACUGCUCAUACUUCCCGAGUCACUAAAACACUCCAGGUUUGUUCUAUUAUUAUUGUCUAUUCAAAUAGAACCUAUAUAUUCAUUAAAUAUUGCAAAAUUACAGUGGGAUGGGGAAGUCCUUAUGCCGGAUAUGACUGCCCAAAGUGUACUGUCAAUGGCAAGUGGAAACUGGAAUGGUCAUGGGCAAAAUGGACUAUUCUAUCUUAAAAGGGUGAUAAAAAACAACGUGUUGUGAAACAAAUGCUGAACCUCCU